AAAUUGAAGAGUUUGAUCAUGGCUCAGAUUGAACGCUGGCGGCAGGCCUAACACAUGCAAGUCGAACGGUAACAGGAAGAAGCUUGCUUCUUUGCUGACGAGUGGCGGACGGGUGAGUAAUGUCUGGGGAACUGCCUGAUGGAGGGGGAUAACUACUGGAAACGGUAGCUAAUACCGCAUAACGUCGCAAGACCAAAGAGGGGGACCUUCGGGCCUCUUGCCAUCGGAUGUGCCCAGAUGGGAUUAGCUAGUAGGUGGGGUAACGGCUC
RNAcentral lists this ribosomal RNA (269 nucleotides) under Escherichia coli. Its description in RNAcentral is "partial 16S ribosomal RNA". It matches the Rfam family "Bacterial small subunit ribosomal RNA", at positions 1 to 266 of the family's 1533-position model. The record is from RNAcentral. Lineage: Bacteria; Pseudomonadati; Pseudomonadota; Gammaproteobacteria; Enterobacterales; Enterobacteriaceae.